AUUGAACGCUGGCGGCAUGCCUUACACAUGCAAGUCGAACGGCAGCACGGGUGCUUGCACCUGGUGGCGAGUGGCGAACGGGUGAGUAAUACAUCGGAACAUGUCCUGUAGCGGGGGAUAGCCCGGCGAAAGCCGGAUUAAUACCGCAUACGAUCUACGGAUGACAGCGGGGGACCUUCGGGCCUCGCGCUAUCGGGUUGGCCGAUGGCUGAUUAGCUAGUUGGUGGGGUAAAGGCCUAACAAGGCGACGAUCAGUAGCUGGUCUGAGAGGACGACCAGCAACACUGGGACUGAGACACGGCCCAGACUCCUACGGGAGGCAGCAGUGGGGAAUUUUGGACAAUGGGCGAAAGCCUGAUCCAGCAAUGCCGCGUGUGUGAAGAAGGCCUUCGGGUUGUAAAGCACUUUUGUCCGGAAAGAAAGCCUUGGCCCUAAUACGGUCGGGGGAUGACGGUACCGGAAGAAUAAGCACCGGCUAACUACGUG
This 486-nucleotide ribosomal RNA is filed under the name uncultured bacterium. RNAcentral describes it as "partial 16S ribosomal RNA". It matches the Rfam family "Bacterial small subunit ribosomal RNA", at positions 30 to 507 of the family's 1533-position model. The record is from RNAcentral.